RNAcentral lists this ribosomal RNA (569 nucleotides) under Odorrana sp. c ZZ-2022. RNAcentral describes it as "partial large subunit ribosomal RNA". It matches the Rfam family "Bacterial large subunit ribosomal RNA", at positions 1839 to 2623 of the family's 2925-position model. The record is from RNAcentral. Lineage: Eukaryota; Metazoa; Chordata; Amphibia; Anura; Ranidae.
CGCUUCACUAGAGGUCAGCCUGCCCAGUGAUAAAAUUCAACGGCCGCGGUACACUAACCGUGCGAAGGUAGCAUAAUCACUUGUUCUUUAAAUAAGGACUCGUAUCAACGGCAUCACGAGGGCUAUACUGUCUCCUCUCUCCAAUCAGUGAAACUGAUCUCCCCGUGAAGAAGCGGGGAUUAGACUAUAAGACGAGAAGACCCCAUGGAGCUUUAAACCCAGCAUAUAUUCCCCCACAACACAUCAAAUUAACCCCGGAGUCCUAUAUGCUGGUUUUAGGCUGGGGGGGCCACGGAGUAAAACCAAACCUCCAUGACAAACGGACUAACACCCUUACCCACGAACCACAAUUCUAAGGAUUACUAAACUAAUGUUUAAUGACCCGAUAAUUCGAUCAACGAACCAAGUUACCCUGGGGAUAACAGCGCAAUCUACUUCAAGAGCCCUUAUCGACAAGUAGGUUUACGACCUCGAUGUUGGAUCAGGGAAUCCCAGUGGUGCAACCGCUACUAACGGCUCGUUUGUUCAACGAUUAAAACCCUACGUGAUCUGAUGUUUCCAAAACCGGA